UAGCAAUAAUAGUCAUGACCUUGGUUUCAGUGUGCCAUGCCCAUCAGGGAGACCAAUAACCAGUGCCUAAUUACAGAUAAGUCUUAGUAAACCUGAGUUCUAUACCCAAAGCAUUGUGUAAGUUCUUUUAGCCAUUUUAUUUUUUAAUCUACUCUUGACAACCUUGGAAAGCAGAUGCUAUUAUCAUUCUGAUAUUCUAAAUAAAUAAACUGAGGCAUAGAUUAUAUUUGUCUCAUAAAUUUUGGAGCUCAGAUUUGACUUGAGGACAGUUUGACCCAGACAGAAUUCAUGUUUUUAACUACUCCAUUUUACUAUAUGUAAGACUUUGCCCAACCCUAUUUUAAUCUGCUUCAUAUUUUUAGUUGUGUUAUAGUCCUUACUUACUUUCAAAUUUCUCAAAGGAACUAGUAAUAUUUAGUCAUUGUUCUUGAAAUUGAAUGUGCAAAUAGGAGACAGUCCCAUGCAUUUGCUUUCCACUUUUAAGUGCUUAUCACCUUCUUUCUAUAUUAUGAGCUUGAUAAAAAAUUAAUACAAUAUCAAUUUGCAGAUGCUAUUACAGUCAGGUCAAACAUCAUUGUAAGACAACCACAAUCAAACCUCAUCCCAUAAUUAUAGAUCUAAGUGAUAAAUGUAGUGAUCUAGGAGUCAGGAACAGUGGGUGCUAGCAACAAACAAAGGCUCCUGAAGAGAAGGUUUAUGCUGAAUCAUCAAUUCAAUUCGGAUUUUCAAACAAAAAUCUGUUAUUCAUAAAUUUUUCUACUUAAAAGCUCACUUCUUCCUAAAUACAUUUCUGAUCAUAAAUUUCAUAGUGAUCACAGCUUUCCAGAUAGGUCAGUUCUGAUCAUUAUUAAAGGAGGGCAGGGAGGGAGAGAAAGAGAAAGAGAAUGAGAAAGACAAAGGGAGAGAAUAACAUGUUUAAUAAACUACCUCCAGAGAAUUUCCAGUUUUCCUGGGUGAACCAAAACUGUCCACACAAAUAUCUGUUUCCUUAGUGCUUUCUCAACUGUUUUUCUUUGGCUUCCUACGUUUACUAAAGAAUACCUGAGUUCGGCAAGAAUGUAGGAUCAUUUUGAUUCAAGAAAUUUAAUCCCUUUAUUUGUGCUCCCUUGAAAUUUGGCGAAUGACAUUCCUGGAACCUAUGUGGAAUCUUUAAUCAAGGGGCCAGACUUAUUCUCCCCCUUAAAAGAAAUGGGAAUGAGGGCUGUGGCUUUGCCUACAUGUAGCAAAAGGAUAAAUCACUAGGAAGUAUAAGGUUCAGUAUAGUAUGUAUUCUUUGCAAUUUAGAUGUAAGAAAAAAUGAAAGAUUAUAUUUUGUUUGGGGGGAGAAAAAUAGUUUCUUAGGGAAGACCAAAAUACACUAGUGAAUUUUAAAAAAGGAUUGAGAAAUAUGGCUGCAUUAAGAUGAAGACCAUCUGGAUUCAUCAAAAAAACACCAUAAACACUACAGAAAGAGAAGAUACAAAAUGGAAGAAUAUUUGUAGCACAUAUACUAAACACCGAGUUACCAGAAUAUAAUGAAUUUCCACAAAUCAAUAAAAAAAGAAAGCAACCUAAAGACAAAAUUAGUGAAAGACUAAAACAAGCAUUUCACAGACAAGGUAAAGAUGCUCACCCUCAUUAAUAAUUCAGGAAGGGCAUAUGAAACUACAGUAGAAUACCAGUUUCUGACCACCAGGCUGGCAGAAGUUAACAAGUUGGAGAAAGCCAAAUUUUGGCAAGGAUCGGGAACACAGGAAUUUUAAUUUUGCUGAUGGGAGUAUAAAAUAUUAGACCACUCUCUUAAACAACUUGGCAUUUAUUUUACAAAGCUGAAUUAAUGCAAACCCUAGAAUCAGAACACAGGAAUUAUAAUUUUGCUGAUGGGAGUAUAAAAUAUUAGACCACUCUCUUAAACAACUUGGCAUUUAUCUUACAAAGCUGAAUUAAUGCAAAACCUAUGACUCAGCAUUUCUAUUCCCAGGAAUAUACUUGGAAAUGUUGCUUAUGUUCUAGGAGACAUACCCAAGAAUGUUUAUAACAAUAUUAUUCAAUAAAAAAUAUACUGGAAUUAAUUCAAAUAUCUGUUAUUCAUAGAAUACAUUAACAGAUUAUAAUGUAGUCAUCCCAUGAAAGAGUAUGUUGCAGUGGAAAUUAAUUCAUCACAGCUUCUGGCAACAUAGAGGAAUCCUAAAAACAGAAUUAGAGUUAAAAACAAAAAGCUUCCUAGGAGUUCCCAUUGUGGCGCAGUGGAAACAAAUCCGACUAGGAACCAUGAGGUUGCAGGUUCAAUCCCUGGCUUUGCUCAGUGGGUUAAGGAUCCGGUGUUGCCGUGAGCUGUGGUGUAGGUCGCAGACGUGGCUUGGAUCGGGUGUUGCUGUGGCUUUGGAGCAGACCGGCAGCUAUAACUCCGAUUAGACCCCUGGCCUGGGAACCUCCAUAUGCCGAGGGUGCGGCCCUAAAAGGACAAAAGACCAAAAAAAAAAAGCUUCCUAAGACUGCAUACACAGUAUGAAACCAUGUUAUAAUAAACAGGCAAAUUAUGCAAUAUACUUAGUAAUACACUGGACAGCAGAAACCAUAUGCUUUGCAAUCCAGUUACUUCCAAUACCCUUAGGAACUCAAAAAAAAAUUAAAACCACAAAUUGGACAUGUAGGUCAAAUAUAGAUGAUGCUGAGCCUUUAAUGACUUGUGAAAUUUUAAAACAGUACUUGAAAGGGUAAUUAUUUUCAUAGAGAUGAGUUAUUUUAAAAAGCUUGUCAAAGACUGAGUAGUAUUCCAUUGUGUAUAUGUACCAUAUCUUCUUAAUCCAGUCGUCUGUCAUUGGACAUCUAGGUUGUUUCCAUGUCUUGGCUGAACCUAUCUACAGAAAAGAAACAGACUCAUGGAUAUGGACAACAGACUUUGGGCGCCAAAAGGGAGGGGGAGGGAGUGGAAUGGACUAGGAGCUUGGGGUUGGUAGAUGCAAACUAUUGCAUUUGGAGUGGAUAAGCAAUGAGAUCCUGCUGUAUAGCAGAGGGAACUAUACAUAGUCACUUGCGAUGGAAUGUGAUGGAGAAUAAUGUGAAAAAAAGAAUGUAUAUAUAUGCAUGACUGGGUCACUUUGCUGUAUAGCAGAAAUUGACAGAACAUUGUAAAU
This 3116-nucleotide long non-coding RNA is filed under the name Sus scrofa (pig). Its description in RNAcentral is "lncRNA (ENSSSCG00000062381.1)". Lineage: Eukaryota; Metazoa; Chordata; Mammalia; Artiodactyla; Suidae. The record is from RNAcentral.